Molecule: ribosomal RNA, 253 nt
Filed under: uncultured bacterium
Lineage: Bacteria
Description: partial 16S ribosomal RNA
Rfam family: Bacterial small subunit ribosomal RNA
Source: RNAcentral
UACGUAGGUGGCAAGCGUUGUCCGGAUUUAUUGGGUUUAAAGGGUGCGUAGGUGGCCCUGUAAGUCAGUGGUGAAAUAUCUCAGCUUAACUGAGAGGGUGCCAUUGAUACUGCAGGGCUUGAGUACAGAUGGGGUAGGCGGAAUUGACGGUGUAGCGGUGAAAUGCAUAGAUAUCGUCAAGAACACCGAUAGCGAAGGCAGCUUACCAAGCUGUAACUGACACUGAGGCACGAAAGUGUGGGGAUCAAACAGG